UGGGGAAUAUUGCGCAAUGGGGGCAACCCUGACGCAGCAACGCCGCGUGAUGGAAGAAGGUCUUCGGAUUGUAAACAUCUGUCUUUAGGGAAGAAAAAAAUGACGGUACCUAAGGAGGAAGCCACGGCUAACUACGUGCCAGCAGCCGCGGUAAUACGUAGGUGGCAAGCGUUGUCCGGAUUUACUGGGUGUAAAGGGCGCGUAGGCGGGAUAGCAAGUCAGUCGUGAAAUACCGGGGCUUAACUCCGGGGCUGCGAUUGAAACUGUUAUUCUUGAGUAUCGGAGAGGAAAGCGGAAUUCCCAGUGUAGCGGUGAAAUGCGUAGAUAUUGGGAGGAACACCAGUGGCGAAGGCGGCUUUCUGGACGACAACUGACGCUGAGGCGCGAAAGUGUGGGGAGCAAACAGG
This 407-nucleotide ribosomal RNA is filed under the name uncultured bacterium. RNAcentral describes it as "bacterial SSU rRNA". It matches the Rfam family "Bacterial small subunit ribosomal RNA", at positions 355 to 776 of the family's 1533-position model. The record is from RNAcentral.